AUGAUUGAGUUACAAUUAACAACCAGAUGGACCGCGUUGUUAAGCCCUGGACCAUGGGCCUGGUUGCCUGGUCCAAGGCCGGCCCUGCCUUUACUCCAACAACUCGACCUCGAUCUCUCUGACCCCAAUGCAAACAUCAAUGGUUACUACUACGGUAAUAGUAGCUUCCUCCAUGGAAUUGAGGCUCUUUCAUUGUCACUUUUCAAUCUCCGCAAGAUUAAUCUCUCUAGCCAUUACUAUAUCGAUGCCUUAUUGUCGUCGAAUAACAAAAACAGGAGUUUCUUCUGCUCUCAACGAGAAACAAUCAACAUUGAGGUAUUUAUCUCUUCCCAUCUUACUUACUGCACAAGUCAUUGA
Vicia faba (fava bean) is the source of this 357-nucleotide non-coding RNA. The record is from the annotation of a GenBank genome assembly. NCBI's taxonomy places the organism in Eukaryota, Viridiplantae, Streptophyta, Magnoliopsida, Fabales, Fabaceae.